GACGAACGCUGGCGGCGUGCUUAACACAUGCAAGUCGAACGGAAAGGCCCUGCUUUUGUGGGGUGCUCGAGUGGCGAACGGGUGAGUAACACGUGAGUAACCUGCCCUUGACUUUGGGAUAACUUCAGGAAACUGGGGCUAAUACCGGAUAGGAGCUCCUGCUGCAUGGUGGGGGUUGGAAAGUUUCGGCGGUUGGGGAUGGACUCGCGGCUUAUCAGCUUGUUGGUGGGGUAGUGGCUUACCAAGGCUUUGACGGGUAGCCGGCCUGAGAGGGUGACCGGCCACAUGGGGACUGAGAUACGGCCCAGACUCCUACGGGAGGCAGCAGUGGGGAAUAUUGCACAAGGGGCGGAAGCCUGAGGCAGCAACGCCGCGUGCGGGAUGACGGCCUUCGGGUUGUAAACCGCUUUCGCCUGUGACGAAGCGUGAGUGACGGUAAUGGGGAAAGAAGCACCGGCUAACUACGU
This 467-nucleotide ribosomal RNA is filed under the name uncultured bacterium. Its description in RNAcentral is "partial 16S ribosomal RNA". It matches the Rfam family "Bacterial small subunit ribosomal RNA", at positions 28 to 506 of the family's 1533-position model. The record is from RNAcentral.